UACGUAGGUGGCGAGCGUUGCCCGGAUUUACUGGGCGUAAAGGGAGCGUAGGCGGACUUUUAAGUGAGAUGUGAAAUACUCGGGCUCAACUUGAGUGCUGCAUUUCAAACUGGAAGUCUAGAGUGCAGGAGAGGAGAAUGGAAUUCCUAGUGUAGCGGUGAAAUGCGUAGAGAUUAGGAAGAACACCAGUGGCGAAGGCGAUUCUCUGGACUGUAACUGACGCUGAGGCUCGGAAGCGUGGGGAGCAAACAGG
RNAcentral lists this ribosomal RNA (253 nucleotides) under uncultured bacterium. RNAcentral's name for it is "partial 16S ribosomal RNA". It matches the Rfam family "Bacterial small subunit ribosomal RNA", at positions 524 to 776 of the family's 1533-position model. The record is from RNAcentral.